ACGGGGGACCUAAGUGUCUCGUUCAAACGGGACUUUUGUACGACCUAAAAAGUCGCGCGAAUAAGGGCUGGGUAAGACUGGUGCCAGCCUCCGCGGUAAAACCAGCAGCUCAAGUGGUGCCCACGUUUAUUGGGUUUAAAGCGUACGUAGUCGGUGGUGCAAGUUUCCUGUAAAAUCCCGCGGCUUAACCGUGGGGACGCAGGAAAUACUACACCACUAGGGGUCGGGAGAGGUAUGAGGUAUUCCUAGGGUAGCGGCGAAAUGCUAUAAUCCUAGGAAGACCACCAGUAGCGUAGGCGUCAUACCAGAACGAGCCCGACGAUGAGGAACGAGAGCUAGGGGAGCAAACCGGAUUAGAUACCCGGGUAGUCCUAGCCGUAAACGAUGCAGACUGAGUGUUCCCGAAACCUCGGGUUCCGGGAGUGCUGAAGGGAAACCGUUAAGUCUGCCAUCUGGGAAGUACGGUCGCAAGGCUGAAAGAGCCUUUUUCUUUCUUCGCAAAGAAAGAAAAAUGCUCGCGAAAAAGAAAGAAGGCGUCCCGUCUUCGACGGGACAUGUCCCACCGGAGGUGGGACCUUUCUUUUCCCGAGGCUUUUCUUUCUUCAGAAAGAAAAGGCUCCGGCUCACUUAAAGGAAUUGGCGGGGGAGCACCACAAGGGGUGGAUGCUGCGGUUCAAUUGGAUACAACGCCGGGCAACUCACCAAGGGCGACAGCAGAAUGAAGGCCAGUCUAAAGGGCUUGCCAAACAAGCUGAGAGGUAGUGCAUGGCCGUCGUCAGCUCGUACUGUGAAGCGUACGGUUAAGUCCGUUAACGAGCAAGACCCGUGCCCUUAUUUGCCAAUCUCGAGGAGACUCGGGAUGCACUAUAAGGGGACUGCUGGUGAUAAAUCAGAGGAAGGUACGGUCGACGGUAGGUCCGUAUGCUCCGAAUCUCUUGGGUUACACGCGGCAUACAAUGGCAUGAACAACGGGUUGCAACACCGAAAGGUGAAGCCAAUCCCUUAAAUCAUGCCUUGGUUCGGAUCGAGGGUUGUAACUCACCCUCGUGAAGCUGAAAUCCCUAGUAAUCGCUGGGUACCAUCUAGCGGUGAAUAUGUCCCUG
Molecule: ribosomal RNA, 1103 nt
Filed under: uncultured euryarchaeote
Lineage: Archaea; Methanobacteriati; Methanobacteriota
Description: bacterial SSU rRNA
Rfam family: Archaeal small subunit ribosomal RNA
Source: RNAcentral